Molecule: unclassified non-coding RNA, 391 nt
Filed under: Hevea brasiliensis (rubber tree)
Lineage: Eukaryota; Viridiplantae; Streptophyta; Magnoliopsida; Malpighiales; Euphorbiaceae
Source: RNAcentral
UCGCCAUUAUGUCGAUCGUGCUGUUGUCAUCUACGCUAUAAGCACCCCUGAUGACUCAUGGGUUCUUGUGGUAACUUCUGUCCUAGUGUUAAGCUAAAUAUUAGUGAGCAUUUUUCUUGACUCAUUUGGUGGCAUAAUAUUUUGACAUGAUGGUGUCAAAUUUUCACGUGCAGGGUGUCAUUGGUUUACAUGUUGUCCCGGUGAUAGUAGUCGUUAUGAUAUAUGAAAUUUGUUCUAUACGUCAAGCUAGAGAUAGAGCAAGGAUUGUACCCGUUAAUCACUUGAUUGAUUCUGAUGAACUUCAUCACUAUGCCUCCAUUAGAAACAUUUCCCGCUAGAAGACGAUUGUCUUUCAAACUAGUGGGAUUUGAAACUGCCCAUCAAUAGUUUG